UGCCAGAACCAAAAACAAAUCCAGGAGGAAAGUCCUCUCUGCUAUAUUUAUCAGCACAAAAGACAGCCCCUGCCAAAUUUAGCAAAAUAAUUGGCAGGGAAUAAACCCUUAACAUGAACAUCCUGCCUCACAAGCUUAAUCACUAUGUUAUAGUCCGAAAGAAACAGAGCAAUCCUUCGUUGCUUUCUUCCUAGUUUGGUUUUCCAAUUUGAGUGUUUCAUUUAAUACUGUUAAAUGUGAAUAAUUUGAUCAGUGACAAAGAUGUAAUUUUGAAAAUUAUGCAGGAGCAUAGACGUGCGAACAAUGGAGGAACCAAGACAAAGAAAAUGACCUCGGCCUGUCUGCUCUUUUUGUCAAUAACUUUAGUCUUUUGUGGAUUGAAGUAGACAAUUUGCCGUUUAAUUUAAACAAAAAUUUUAUUUUUUUCUAACUUUUUCUUCUUUGGCAUUUUUCGGGUCUGGUCUGGACAUAAUACACCUGUAUUGUUCAAAAUUUUUAUCAAUUUUUUUUUAAAAAAAUCCCUGGUUUAACGUAAUCAGUGAUCCGAUUCCUACCCAAGCGGCCAAGCCAAUAAGUGAAUAAUUUCAUUAAUCCAAAAGCAAAUGGUUAAUUAGAAUAAAUUAUUUCCAAAAUCCAAAUAUCCACAGACGAAAAUUUGUCUCCUGUCGUUAUAUAUUACACAAAAUAACAGUUUUUAAUUAUUAUUGUGAUAAAAAAUGUAUGACGAAGCUAAAACUUAUGAACUCCCAUUUUCUUUUUCCAAAAUACAGGACCUAAGCAUUAAUUAUGUUAGAAUACAGGGAUGAAAGUGAUACAAUUUAACUCAUUUGUUCAUCAUAACUCGUAAGCAUUGCGGACUCUGAAUGUGUUUUAAAAUACAAGGACACUGUUCUGGUUUCUACAAUCUACUGCAACUGAAAGAAAAAAAUUAUUCUUGGACAGAAGUAAAACGUUUUUGCCAAGUUGGAUAAUCUGAACCAACGCUUCCUCCCUUCAAAAAGUAAGAAUACCACUGAGCAGAGAGCUUUGGGUAUCUCUUCAGUUCUGGGUCAUCUAGAUCUACGUAGUACAAGCCAUAGCUUGAAUUAUAGCCAUACAAUAUUUCAAACAAAUCCAGAAAGGACCAUGUCAAAUACCCUCUUGUGUUUGAUCCAUUCCUUCCAACUUUGAAGUCACACAAAGAGAAGAAAAUUAGAACAAAUGCACAAAAUGAUGCAACAAGAGAAAUUGGAAGAUCCUCCAAUUAAAGGAUAAUUAUCAUUCAUCAUGAAAAUGCCCUAUUUGAUGGUUGGGGGCUUAGGAUCCCACUCGUGUCCACAAAGGUCUGAUUGGCUUUAUUCAUUGGACCAAGUUUUUAUGCUAUGCUUCAAUAUUCUUUUUCUCCCUUGUUUGGAUAUAUACAUGCAAUUUUCAAACCUUUCCAGCCACAAGAUUUUACUAAGACAUAAAAAUAAGAAAGUCACUUCAGGUAGAGGAAGGGAAAAAGAGGGAGGCAGGGCAUACCUGACAGCAUCAAGCAAACUCCCAAUGUCUAAAUGCAUAUAUUUCACCCUAGAACUGUCUUCCAAAAAGAUGUUACGUGGGGUAGGCAGACCCGGCAAGAAAUGCAAUACCAAGUUCACCAAUGACACAAAACUGCAUGAUCAAUGAGAGGUAAAACCAGGUAGUAGGAAUUUCAGGGCAAAAACCAUUCUGGGUUUUCAACACUUCACUGGUUCCACGUUCUACCUAAACUUCAAUUAUCAUGUGAUUAACUUUGGAUAAUGUUUUUCCAAAAAAUAAAAAAUAAAAAACCUUUGGAUAAAUAAUGUUUAGCAUAUGUGUUUCAAUGUUGUAACAAUUCUAUCUUAUCUUACUUCGAGAAAUACUCUACGAAUAGGUUAUGGACCCAUUAAAGCGGGACCUUCUACUUAAGAGAUUUUAGAUCUACCUAUUUUAAAACGAACUUUAAGAUAUUUAAUUAAGUAUUACCGAUAUUAUAGCGAAAGUUUUAUUGUUGACGAUUAAUAAAAUUUGAGAAUUUAUUUCUCUUCCUUUCUUCGAGAAUUUGUUUCUUUAGAGAAUUUGUUUCUUUAGAGAAUUUAUUUCUUUACCUUUUGUGUUCUUGUUCUACAUCCCCAAUAGCUUGAAGCAAGUGGAAUACACCAAGAGUAACCUUUCAUGUUUUGUUACAACUUUCUUGUGAACUUAAAGUAGAAUUUAACAUUGAGUAAUGCUUUGUGUUUUGUUACAACCUUCUUGCAAACUUCCAAUAGAAUUCACAAAAGCAUGCUACCAGAGUAACAAUAUCAAGUAUCAACCAGGAGGAGGGGGAGAGAGAGAGAGAGAGA
Molecule: unclassified non-coding RNA, 2330 nt
Filed under: Hevea brasiliensis (rubber tree)
Lineage: Eukaryota; Viridiplantae; Streptophyta; Magnoliopsida; Malpighiales; Euphorbiaceae
Source: RNAcentral